GCGAAUGGCUCAUUAAAACAGUUAUGGUUUAUUUGACAAUCGAAUUUACAUGGAUAACCGUGGUAAUUCUAGAGCUAAUACAUGCUGGUGUGCCCGACUUCUCGGAAGGGCGGUAUUUAUUAGAUAACAAGCCAAUAUUCCUCUGGUCUAUUGUGGUGACUCAUAAUAACUGAUCGAAUCGCAAGGCCUAUGGCCGCGAUAAGUCAUUCAAGUUUCUGCCCCAUCAGCUUUCGAUGGUAGUGUAUUGGACUACCAUGGCGUUUACGGGUAACGGAGGAUUAGGGUUCGAUUCCGGAGAGGGAGCCUGAGAAACGGCUACCACAUCUAAGGAAGGCAGCAGGCGCGUAAACUACCCAAUCCUGAUUCAGGGAGGUAGUGACAAGAAAUAACGGACCGAGGCCCUCGGGCUUCGGGAUUGCAAUGAGCCGAAUUUACACCCCUUAGCGAGGAUCAAUUGGAGGGCAAGUCUGGUGCCAGCAGCCGCCGUAAUUCCAGCUCCAAUAGCGUAUAUUAAAGUUGUUGCAGUUAAAAAGCUCGUAGUUGGAUUUCUGGGAGGGUGCCAAUGUCGCCGACGUGCGUGCGCAGCGGCGCCCUCUCAUCCUUCUGUUAACGUCUCUCGGCAUUCACUUGCCCGGUGGCGGGCUCAGAUAUUUUACCUUGAGAAAAUUAGAGUGUUUCAGGCAGGCU
Molecule: ribosomal RNA, 687 nt
Filed under: eukaryote marine clone ME1-12
Lineage: Eukaryota
Description: SSU rRNA
Rfam family: Eukaryotic small subunit ribosomal RNA
Source: RNAcentral